UACGUAGGGUGCAGGCGUUAAUCGGAAUUACUGGGCGUAAAGCGUGCGCAGGCGGUUUGCUAAGACAGGUGUGAAAUCCCCGGGCUUAACCUGGGAACUGCGCUUGUAACUGGCAAGCUAGAGUGUGGCAGAGGGGGGUGGAAUUCCACGUGUAGCAGUGAAAUGCGUAGAGAUGUGGAGGAACACCGAUGGCGAAGGCAGCCCCCUGGGCUAACACUGACGCCCAUGCACGAAAGCGUGGGGAGCAAACGGG
Molecule: ribosomal RNA, 253 nt
Filed under: uncultured bacterium
Lineage: Bacteria
Description: partial 16S ribosomal RNA
Rfam family: Bacterial small subunit ribosomal RNA
Source: RNAcentral